CCAAUAAAAUAGCACCGAUUAGAACAACUACAACAUAUCCAGUGUAUUUUCACAUAGUGAGGUCUGAGGAGGGUAGAGUGUAUGCUGACCAUACUACUACCUCAGGUGAAGUAGAGAGACUGUUUCCGAUAGACCCCCGGCUUAGGAUCGAUAGCAGUAUAACAAACACAAAACAUAAAUAAAUAUAAACUAGUACAUUAUCAUGCAAGCCAAACUAACACCGCUAGCCACAAGAUAAUACUAUAGCCACAAGAUAAUAUUAAAAAUUAUCUAUCCGAAAUCAUAGACAUCACUCAACACCAUGAACAAGAAAUUUCAGACACAAAUAAAGAACGCUCUCCUACUGUUACCGAUGCACUCCCACCCUCAACUUGAGCACUCCCCCUACUGAUGAUACAUGUACCAACUUGAGCACACCUCAACGAAUUUCACGAGAUAUUUAUUACCUCUCAUCAAUGAUAAGUAAGUAUAUAGAUAGAUUACGUGAGAUAUAUAGACUACGUUCUGUGAGUUUGUGUUUAGGAGUUGACUGAAGAUAUAGCAGACCGUGAUGUAGUUUUGCUGGACUAUUAGGUAAUCAAUGAAAGCUGUUUGUUACCCAAAAAAAUGAGAGUAAUUCAUAGCUAUACGAAUAUUUAAAAACUUAUUAAGAUUAUAAACCUCAAUAAUUU
This 671-nucleotide long non-coding RNA is filed under the name Capsicum annuum. Its description in RNAcentral is "long non-coding RNA (CANN_LNC004230)". The record is from RNAcentral. Lineage: Eukaryota; Viridiplantae; Streptophyta; Magnoliopsida; Solanales; Solanaceae.